GUACUGCUUACUUUAGCAACACAUAUACUAAAACUGGGAGGAUACAGAAAACAUCAACAUGGCCCAUAUGCAAGGAUGACACAAUAAAGAAAUCCUUUUUUUUUUU
Molecule: non-coding RNA, 106 nt
Organism: Chlorocebus sabaeus (green monkey)
Lineage: Eukaryota; Metazoa; Chordata; Mammalia; Primates; Cercopithecidae
Source: Rfam